CCGCGCACCGCCACCCGCCCGCCGUGAGGGGACGGGGGGGGGGGGGGGCAAGGAAGGGGAGGGCGGAGUGAGGCGGGGCGGCUCCAGCGCUGCGCUGGGGGCAGCCGGUGACGCUGCCGAGAUGCAAAGACGCCCUCCCCUGUCGCCUGUGCGUGCUAGGUUUGGAACGCUCCGGUUCUGGAGGUGUAGCGUUGUGCUUGCGCAGCCACUGGCUCUCCGUAAGGGGCCGCCCUCCGGGCCGGGCCCGAGUCUGCCGCGCCUCAGUCGGAAACCUGAAGUUUUGCCUUCUGAUUCUGAACCAGCCUUUCAACAAAGGUCAUUUUCAUUGUCUGUGGAGCAGAGCUUCUUGCCUGACUACAUCAGUGGUGAUUUUGAUUCCAUUCAGCCUGAAGUCAAGGAGUACUACAAGGUCAAGGGAUGUGAAUUAAUUGAGACGAUGGAUCAGGACCUCACAGAUUUCACCAAGUGCCUUCAGAUACUCCAAAAAAAGAUAGAGAACAAGGGUCUCCAGAUCGAUGUGAUUGUGACUUUGGGUGGACUUGGAGGACGCUUUGACCAAAUAAUGGCAUCAGUGGAAACGCUUUUUCAUGCAACAAAAAUCACGCCUUUGCCAGUGGUAGUUAUCCAGGAGUGCUCACUGAUUUACCUGCUUCAACCGGGCAAGCACAAGCUGCAUGUGGACACGGGACUGGAAGGCGACUGGUGUGGCCUCAUCCCCAUUGGGAACCCCUGCGAGAGUGUGACCACGACAGGCCUCAAGUGGAACCUCAGCAGGGAGUUAAAUUGCUGAAAAAUGCUACCAUUCAAAAGAGUGCCACUGUCAUCACUUCAAAAGGCAAUAGCAAUAACAAUGGGAGCAAGACCUUUCUCUAGCAACAGAUCAUCCACUGACUACUAGCUUCACAGAAUCAGCCAUAAUAAAUGUAAAUGUCACCCUGCUGAGAGAUUUCCCAAAACAAGAAACCUCUCUGAAGCAUGUGGUGAGUUAUUGCCAGCUCCAGUGUCUGCAGGACCACAAAAGGGCAUAGACCAGUGGGAGGACAAAUCCAGUCUGGCUCAAAUCUUCCAGAGUUA
Pezoporus flaviventris is the source of this 1074-nucleotide RNA transcript. It is a transcript of the gene named thiamin pyrophosphokinase 1, with no coding region annotated. The record is from RefSeq and is a predicted model, not a curated record. The transcript has 8 exons. NCBI's taxonomy places the organism in Eukaryota, Metazoa, Chordata, Aves, Psittaciformes, Psittacidae.